This 3216-nucleotide ribosomal RNA is filed under the name Triticum aestivum (bread wheat). RNAcentral describes it as "partial small subunit ribosomal RNA". The record is from RNAcentral. Lineage: Eukaryota; Viridiplantae; Streptophyta; Magnoliopsida; Poales; Poaceae.
AUGACUUCGCCGCCGGCGCCUGGGAGGUCGGAGCACGCCGGCGGUGGCGGCCAGUUCCACGUGCUCAACUCCAGCAGCGGCGGCGGCUCUGACGCUGGGCAGACCAACGGCGCGGCGUAUCGGCAGCAGCUGCCUUCUCCACGGGCCGCUGCACCCGCCAACGCCGCGGCGUACCGGCAGCUGCCGUCUCCACGAGCCGCCUCUCCUGCCAACGCCGUCACGCAAGGUAACGGCGUGACGGCGUAUCGGCAGCUCCCGUCUCCGCGAGCCGCCGCUCCAGUGAACGGCGCGACGGCGUUUCGGCAGCUUCCGUCUCCGCGAGCCGCCGCUCCGGCGAAAGGCGUCGCACAAGCGAACGGCGCGGCGGUGCAUCGGCAGGUUCCGUCUCUGCGAGCCGCCGCUCCGGCGAAAGGCGUCGCGCAAGCCAGCGGCCGGCAGCUUCCGUCUCCGCGAGCCGCCGCUCCAGCGAACGGCGCCGCACAAGCAAACGGCGCGACGGCGUAUCGGCAGCUUCCGUCCCCGCGAGCCACCGCUCCAGCGAACGGCGUCGCGCAAGGGAACGGCAUGGCGGCGUAUCGGCAGCUGCCGUCUCCGCGAGCGACCGCCCCGACGAACAGCGCGACGGCGUAUCGGCAGGUGCCGUCUCCGCGGGCCGACGCCUCGGCAUUGUGGCGUUCGACGCCGGUGCGCGCCAUGACCACCUACGGCCCUCCGGCCACCGGUGCCGCCCCGCCGGUGCCCAUAGCCAUGCGGGCUCCGUCCACGCAGUCGAUGCCGUCGCCGCACCUGCUGCAGCAGCUCAUGGUCUUGGCGGGGUGGGGCGCUUCUUCCAGACCGCCGUGGCUGCAGAGCUACGUGCAGGGCACGCCGCCGCCGUUCUCCACCUCAGGGAGAGGCCGUGGGAUGCAACAACCUUUUGCGUCUUCACGGAUACCACGGAUACCGGGGGCUAGCGCCAGCGGCACCACCGUAACCGUGCAGAGAGACGCCGGCGGCGAUCAUCUUCCCAAGGAUACUGGCGCUGGCCGCGGCAAACCCGCGAGCGAGAGGUCGCUCCAGAUCGUCCCUGCUGACGAUGGUGCCGGGCCCAGCAAGAACGUGCCACCGAUCGGCGGCAACGGCGAUGGGGCUGGCAAGAACGUGACGCCGGUCGCCGGCGGCAACGGCGAUACCGCCGUGGCGCUUCUGGGCCCUGUGCUUGCUAUUCCGUCCACCGGCGUCGUCCGCAAAGGGAAGGCCGCCGCUAAAUCGCCGAACGGACGCCUACGGAAGCCGCGCGCGCCCAAGGGGAGCAGCACUCUGGCGGGACCCAAGAAGGUCCCCGGCAGGAAACCCGCCGCCGACAAACCGGCGCCCACGAACCCCGGCGCCCAAGGCAACGACCAGCCCAAGACCGUCUCGCCUCCAAGCAGCGGCAGGAAGAGGAGGAACGCCGCCCCGGCCGCGGCCUCGCCAUCGCCGACGCCGAGCAGCGCCACACGGUGCAGCCUCGUCGCCAGGAUGAACGACAGCAACAGCACGCCCGGCACGACGGCGGCGGCGCCAGAAAAGAAGCACACAGUCCUGACAUGGCUGAUCGACGCCGGCGUGCUUCAGGAGAAAGAGCAGAUCUUCUACGUGCCGGGGCCGGAGGACAAGGCGAGCAUCAACGCGAAGGUCGUGUCCGGCGCGGUGACCAGAACGGGUAUCAAGUGCAGCUGCUGCGACGGCGCGGCGGCGAUGGCGCUGCCGGCCUUCGCGUCGCACGCCGGCUCCGCGGACGGGCCCGCGGCGCCGUGGGAGAGGCUGCUGCUGAUGUCCGGCAAGCCGCUGCUGCUGUGCUUGCGGGAGGCGUGGGAUCUGGAGCGCGUGAAGAUCUUCCGCGCCGAGGAGGAGGCGCGAGCGGCGCUGGAGCAGGACCGGGAGCGGAGCGCGCAGGCGAAGAAGCGGUCGCUGCUGCUGCUCGCCAAGCAGGGGAGGAAGGGAGGAGCCCGCGCCCUCGCCGUCGACGGCGGCGGCGACCGGAGCGACGACGCGUGCGGCGUGUGCGCGGACGGCGGGCAGCUGCUGUGCUGCGACAGCUGCCCGUCCACCUUCCACCCGGAGUGCGUCGGCGUGCAGGUCCCCGACGGCUCCUGGGCCUGCCACUACUGCCGCUGCUUCCUCUGCUCCGCCAGCGACGGCGCCCCGUCCACCUGCCACCAGUGCGCCCGCAAGUAUCACAACCACUGCCGCACGUCGCUGUUCGCCGGGAACGAGAUCGGGCCCUUCUGCAGCGAAUCCUGCAACAAGGUGGAAACAGCCGCUGAAACAUACACUUUUGCUUUCAGCAAUACUCUUAUAAUUGCCGCGAAGCUGACCGAGAUGGCGGGGGUGACGAACACCGCCGAUGAAGACGGUUACUCCUGGUCCCUGUUGAAGAUCCAGAAGGACACCGGGGACUCCGCCGACGUUCUCGAGUGCAACGCGAAGCUGGCUGUGGCUCUCGGCGUGUUGGAUGAGUGCUUCAACCCUGUCAAGGACCGGCGCACCGGCAUCGACAUGCUGCACCAGGCCGUCUACAGCCUCGGGUCCGAGUUGAAGCGCCUGAGCUAUGAAGGUUUCUACACCAUGGUGCUGGAGAAGGACACAGAAAUAAUCUCGGUGGCCCUCUUAAGAUUCCAUGGCAACAAACUCGUAGAGAUGCCGUUCGCGGGCACGCUGCCGCACUACCGGAGGCAGGGGAUGAUGGGCCGCCUCGUCAAGGCCGUCGAGCAGGUGCUGGCGACGGUGCAGGUGGAGAAGCUGGUGAUUCCGGCGGUGACCGAGGUGGUCGAGACAUGGAAGAGGUCCUUCGGUUUCGCGCCCAUGGAGCCGCGGCUGAGGGAGGAGACCAAGAGGCUCAGCAUGGUCGUCGUCACCGGAACCGUCAUGCUGCAGAAGCACAUUGCCAGGCAGCAGACUGCACACGGCGACGAGGAGAACCAGGCGCCGCCGAUGACCGAGGACGAGCUGGCGUUCCUGGAGAUGAGCUGGCCGCUCUCCAGUUUCACCGACCUCGUGGCCGGGAUUGCGUUCCCGCCGCCGUCUGGUGUCGACCCGCUGGCCACCGCCGUGAGGGGGCUAGGUAUGGGUGCCCCGGGGACGGGCGGCCGGCGGUCCUGCGGCGGCGAGGCAGUGGGCUCGAGCGUGUUCCAGAUGCCUAGCUAUGCGCCUGCUGCGCACGGCGCCAGUCUACGCCUCGGCAUGAACAAAUAA